GAGGGUGUAGCUCAAGUGGUACAGCGCACGCUUAGCAUGCGCAAGGUCCUGGGUUCAAUCCCCAGUACCUCCA
Camelus ferus (Wild Bactrian camel) is the source of this 73-nucleotide transfer RNA. It matches the Rfam family "tRNA". From Rfam's summary of the family: Transfer RNA (tRNA) molecules are approximately 80 nucleotides in length. Lineage: Eukaryota; Metazoa; Chordata; Mammalia; Artiodactyla; Camelidae. The record is from Rfam.